GACGAACGCUGGCGGCGUGCCUAAUACAUGCAAGUUGAGCGCUGAAGGUUGGUACUUGUACCGACUGGAUGAGCAGCGAACGGGUGAGUAACGCGUGGGGAAUCUGCCUUUGAGCGGGGGACAACAUUUGGAAGCGAAUGCUAAUACCGCAUAAAAACUUUAAACACAAGUUUUAAGUUUGAAAGAUGCAAUUGCAUCACUCAAAGAUGAUCCCGCGUUGUAUUAGCUAGUUGGUGAGGUAAAGGCUCACCAAGGCGAUGAUACAUAGCCGACCUGAGAGGGUGAUCGGCCACAUUGGGACUGAGACACGGCCCAAACUCCUACGGGAGGCAGCAGUAGGGAAUCUUCGGCAAUGGACGUAAGUCUGACCGAGCAACGCCGCGUGAGUGAAGAAGGUUUUCGGAUCGUAAAACUCUGUUGGCAGAGAAGAACGUUGGUGAGAGUGGAAAGCUCAUCAAGUGACGGUAACUACCCAGAAAGGGACGGCUAACUACGUG
Molecule: ribosomal RNA, 497 nt
Filed under: uncultured bacterium
Lineage: Bacteria
Description: partial 16S ribosomal RNA
Rfam family: Bacterial small subunit ribosomal RNA
Source: RNAcentral